RNAcentral lists this ribosomal RNA (1530 nucleotides) under Escherichia coli. Its description in RNAcentral is "bacterial SSU rRNA". It matches the Rfam family "Bacterial small subunit ribosomal RNA". RNAcentral also lists the same sequence under 2 other names. Lineage: Bacteria; Pseudomonadati; Pseudomonadota; Gammaproteobacteria; Enterobacterales; Enterobacteriaceae. The record is from RNAcentral.
AGAGUUUGAUCAUGGCUCAGAUUGAACGCUGGCGGCAGGCCUAACACAUGCAAGUCGAACGGUAACAGGAAGCAGCUUGCUGCUUCGCUGACGAGUGGCGGACGGGUGAGUAAUGUCUGGGAAACUGCCUGAUGGAGGGGGAUAACUACUGGAAACGGUAGCUAAUACCGCAUAAUGUCGCAAGACCAAAGAGGGGGACCUUCGGGCCUCUUGCCAUCGGAUGUGCCCAGAUGGGAUUAGCUUGUUGGUGGGGUAACGGCUCACCAAGGCGACGAUCCCUAGCUGGUCUGAGAGGAUGACCAGCCACACUGGAACUGAGACACGGUCCAGACUCCUACGGGAGGCAGCAGUGGGGAAUAUUGCACAAUGGGCGCAAGCCUGAUGCAGCCAUGCCGCGUGUAUGAAGAAGGCCUUCGGGUUGUAAAGUACUUUCAGCGGGGAGGAAGGGAGUAAAGUUAAUACCUUUGCUCAUUGACGUUACCCGCAGAAGAAGCACCGGCUAACUCCGUGCCAGCAGCCGCGGUAAUACGGAGGGUGCAAGCGUUAAUCGGAAUUACUGGGCGUAAAGCGCACGCAGGCGGUUUGUUAAGUCAGAUGUGAAAUCCCCGGGCUCAACCUGGGAACUGCAUCUGAUACUGGCAAGCUUGAGUCUCGUAGAGGGGGGUAGAAUUCCAGGUGUAGCGGUGAAAUGCGUAGAGAUCUGGAGGAAUACCGGUGGCGAAGGCGGCCCCCUGGACGAAGACUGACGCUCAGGUGCGAAAGCGUGGGGAGCAAACAGGAUUAGAUACCCUGGUAGUCCACGCCGUAAACGAUGUCGACUUGGAGGUUGUGCCCUUGAGGCGUGGCUUCCGGAGCUAACGCGUUAAGUCGACCGCCUGGGGAGUACGGCCGCAAGGUUAAAACUCAAAUGAAUUGACGGGGGCCCGCACAAGCGGUGGAGCAUGUGGUUUAAUUCGAUGCAACGCGAAGAACCUUACCUGGUCUUGACAUCCACAGAACUUUCCAGAGAUGGAUUGGUGCCUUCGGGAACUGUGAGACAGGUGCUGCAUGGCUGUCGUCAGCUCGUGUUGUGAAAUGUUGGGUUAAGUCCCGCAACGAGCGCAACCCUUAUCCUUUGUUGCCAGCGGUCCGGCCGGGAACUCAAAGGAGACUGCCAGUGAUAAACUGGAGGAAGGUGGGGAUGACGUCAAGUCAUCAUGGCCCUUACGACCAGGGCUACACACGUGCUACAAUGGCGCAUACAAAGAGAAGCGACCUCGCGAGAGCAAGCGGACCUCAUAAAGUGCGUCGUAGUCCGGAUUGGAGUCUGCAACUCGACUCCAUGAAGUCGGAAUCGCUAGUAAUCGUGGAUCAGAAUGCCACGGUGAAUACGUUCCCGGGCCUUGUACACACCGCCCGUCACACCAUGGGAGUGGGUUGCAAAAGAAGUAGGUAGCUUAACCUUCGGGAGGGCGCUUACCACUUUGUGAUUCAUGACUGGGGUGAAGUCGUAACAAGGUAACCGUAGGGGAACCUGCGGUUGGAUCACCU